This 2966-nucleotide ribosomal RNA is filed under the name Hordeum vulgare. RNAcentral describes it as "eukaryotic LSU rRNA". It matches the Rfam family "Eukaryotic large subunit ribosomal RNA", at positions 496 to 3401 of the family's 3401-position model. The record is from RNAcentral. RNAcentral also lists the same sequence under 1 other name. Lineage: Eukaryota; Viridiplantae; Streptophyta; Magnoliopsida; Poales; Poaceae.
CGACUCUCACCCUAGCACGCUUUACUUUGGAUUUCCGAUGGGAUCCGGUGCUUUAGUGAUGGUAUGAUCGCAUCCGACAUGCUACUAUCUAUUGGUUCCUUAUGCUUGCGCCUCCCAUGUCCAUUGCCACGUUUGCCUCGACAACGGAGACAAGUUUAACACAAGAAUUUCACCCCUCCCUCUCUACCUCAACAACACAAGCACCACCACGACCUCUCUCGCUUUUCCGACCGCGCUUGACACCCAACGACACCGCCCAUAGAUGUCUGAACAAUGAGCCGCAAACUAAAACAUAUCACAAAUGUCAAAAAUAAGAAAACGGGUUUAAUAUAGAUCACUCACCCGCGUCAUCCUUGUCACGUGGCGCAAAAAUAUUUAAAAGGGGAAUCCUAAAAGAGGACUUCCCAGGAGGUCACCCAUCCUAGUACUACUCUCGCCCAAGCACGCUUAACUCCCGUAUUCUUAUGGACUUCUGUGAAGGGUUUGAUUUGAGCACACGUGUCGGGAACAGAAAGAUGGUGAACUAUGCGUGAGCGGGGUGAAGCGGGAGGAAACUCUGGUGGAGGCUCGAAACGAUACUUACGUGCAAAUCGUUUGUCUGACUUGGGUAUAGGGGCGAAAGACUAAUCGAACCAUCUAGUAGUUGGUUCCCUCCGAACUUUCCCUCGGGAUAGCUGGAGCCCAUUAUGCGUUCUAUCAGGUAAAGCCAAUGAUUAGAGGCAUUGGGGACACAACGUCCUCGACCUAUUCUCAAACUUUAAAUAGGUAGGAUGGCUCGGCUGCUUCGAUGAGUCGUGCUACGGAAUCAGGUUCUCCAAGUGGGCCAUUUUUGUUAAGCAGAACUGGCGAUGGGGGAUGAACCGGAAGUCGUGUUACGGUGCCCAACUGUGCGCUAACCUAGAACCCAAAAAGGGUGUUGGUCGAUUAAGACAGUAGCAUGGUGUUCAUGGAAGUCGAAAUCCGCUAAGGAGUCUGUAACUACUCACCUGGCGAAUCAACUAGCCCAGAAAAUGGAUGGCGCUGAAGCGCGCGACCCACAGUCGGCCAUCUGGGCGAGUGCCAUGCCCCAAUGAGUAGGAGGGCGAGGCGGCCUCUUCAAAACCUGGGGUGCGAGCCCGGGGGGAGCAGCUGUCGGUGCAAAUCUUGGUGGUAGUAGCAAAUAUUCAAAUGAGAACUUUGAAUGCCGAAGAGGAGAAAUUUUCCAUUAGAACGACACUUGCACAUGGGUAAGCCAAUCCUAAGGGACGUGGUAACCCCGGCAGAUAGCGAAAUCACGCCCAUCCCCCGAAAGGGAAUCGGGUUAAGAUUUCCUGAACCGGUAUGUGGCGGUUGAUGGCGACGUUAGGAAUUCCGGAGACGUCGGAGGGGGCCUCGGGGAGAGUUAUCUUUUCUGCUUAAUGACCUGCCAACCUUACAAACGGUUCAGACGGAGGUAGGGUCCAGUGGCCGGAAGAGCAUCACACGUCGUGCGGUGUCCGGUGCGCCCCGAGUGGCCUAUGAAAAUCCGGAGGACCGAGUACCGUACAAGCCCCGAUCGUACUCAUAACCGCAUUAGGUCUCCAAGGUGAACAUCCUCUGGCCAAUGGAACAAUGUAGGCAAGGGAAGUUAGCAAAACGGAGCCGUAACUUCAGGAAAAGGAUUGGCUCUCAGGACUGGGCUCGGGGGUCCCGGCCCCGAACCCAUUGGCUGUUGACGGAUUGCUUGAGUUGCUCAUGCGGCGAGAGCGGGUCGCCGCGUGUCGGCCGGGGGCUUUCCCUGAGCAUGAAUCAGUAGACUCUGAACUGGUACGAACAAGGGGAAUCUGACUAUUUAAUUAAAACAAAGAAUUGCAAUGGUCCUCGCGGAUGCCGACGCAAUGUGAUUUCUACCCAUUGCCCUGAAUGUCAAAGUGAAGAAAUUAAACCAAGAGCAGGUAAACGGCGGGAGUAACUAUGAUUCUCUUAAGGUAGCCAAAUGCCUCGUCAUCUAUUAAGUGACUCAUAUGAAUGGAUUAACGAGAUUCCCAUUGUCCAUGUCUACUAUCCAGCGAAACCAUAACCAAGGGAACGGGCUUCGCGGAAUCAGCGGGGAAAGAAGACCUUGUUUAGAUUAACUCUAGUCCAACUUUGUGAAAUGACUUGAGAGGUGUAUGAUAAGUGGGAGACCUUACGGGCGCAAGUGAAAUACCACUACUUUUAACGUUAUUUUACUUAUUCCGUGGGUCGGAAGCGGGGACUGUCCCCUCCUUUUGGCUCCGAAGCCCAAAUUUAUUGGGCCGAUUCAGGUGGAAGACAUUGUCAGGUGGGGAGUUUGGCUUGGGUGGCACAUCCGUUAAAAGAUAAUGCAUGUGUCCUAAGAUGAGCUCAACGAGAACAUAAAUCUCGUGUGGAACAAAAGGGUAAAAGCUCGUUUUAUUUUGAUAUCCAAUAUGAAUACAAACCGUGAAAGCGUGGCCUAUCGAUCCUUUAGAUCUUCAGAGUUUGAAGCUAGAGGUGUCAGAAAAGUUACCAUAGGGAUAACUAGCUUGUGGCACCCAAGCGUUCAUAGCGAUGUUGCUUUUUGAUCCUUAAAUGUCGGCUCUUCCUAUCAUUGUGAAGUAGAAUUCACCAAGUGUUUGAUUGUUCACCCCCCAAUAGGGAACGUGAGCUGGGUUUAGACCGUCGUGCCACAGGUUAGUUUUACCCUACUGAUGAUAGUGUCGCGAUAGUAAUUCAACCUAGUACGAGAGGAAUCAUUGAUUCACACAAUUGGUCAGCGCGCUUAGUUGAAAAGCCAGUGUCGCGAAGCUACCGUGUGCCGGAUUAUGACUGAAUGCCUCUAGGUCAGAAUCCAAGCUAGCAUGUGACCCCUGCGCCCGUUGCUUGCCUCGACCCACGUUAGGGGUGCUUGCGCCGCAACGGCUCGUGCCAUUGGCUAAGCCAGUCCGACCGACGUGAUGUGACCGGCCACCUCGAAGCUCCCUUCCCAAAGGGCGGUGGUCUAAAUC